UGAGAAGCGCUGUGGUGAGUAGCAGACCGUGCUUUUCAGGUGUUGCGCUAAUUACUCUGCCCAAGUAGCGUUGCUUUGCCUUUUGUGGAAAAUAGUUCCCAGUAUGUAUACGGUUAGAAGAUGGCUUUGUCUCAUGUGACCUUCUUAUUUGUACACCCUGUGACUAUACAAAUCACAUAUAAAAAGGAAAAUGU
Molecule: long non-coding RNA, 194 nt
Organism: Etheostoma cragini (Arkansas darter)
Lineage: Eukaryota; Metazoa; Chordata; Actinopteri; Perciformes; Percidae
Exons: 3
Source: RefSeq, a predicted model, not a curated record